RNAcentral lists this ribosomal RNA (537 nucleotides) under uncultured Mycobacterium sp. RNAcentral's name for it is "bacterial SSU rRNA". It matches the Rfam family "Bacterial small subunit ribosomal RNA", at positions 54 to 606 of the family's 1533-position model. The record is from RNAcentral. Lineage: Bacteria; Bacillati; Actinomycetota; Actinomycetes; Mycobacteriales; Mycobacteriaceae.
CAUGCAAGUCGAACGGAAAGGCCCUUCGGGGUACACGAGUGGCGAACGGGUGAGUAACACGUGGGUGAUCUGCCCUGCACUUUGGGAUAAGCCUGGGAAACUGGGUCUAAUACCGAAUACACCCUGCUGGUCGCAUGGCCUGGUGGGGGAAAGCUUUUGCGGUGUGGGAUGGGCCCGCGGCCUAUCAGCUUGUUGGUGGGGUGAUGGCCUACCAAGGCGACGACGGGUAGCCGGCCUGAGAGGGUGUCCGGCCACACUGGGACUGAGAUACGGCCCAGACUCCUACGGGAGGCAGCAGUGGGGAAUAUUGCACAAUGGGCGCAAGCCUGAUGCAGCGACGCCGCGUGAGGGAUGACGGCCUUCGGGUUGUAAACCUCUUUCAAUAGGGACGAAGCGUGAGUGACGGUACCUAUAGAAGAAGCACCGGCCAACUACGUGCCAGCAGCCGCGGUAAUACGUAGGGUGCGAGCGUUGUCCGGAAUUACUGGGCGUAAAGAGCUCGUAGGUGGUUUGUCGCGUUGUUCGUGAAAACUCACA